Molecule: long non-coding RNA, 944 nt
Organism: Cyprinus carpio carpio
Lineage: Eukaryota; Metazoa; Chordata; Actinopteri; Cypriniformes; Cyprinidae
Source: Ensembl
AAGAAACAAUCUGGGAUGGAGAAUGAGGAGGAAAAAAGGAGCCAGGAAAUUCCAGCCUUGACCAGCUUGAAACUGAGAUCAGUAAACUCAGCAUUAAGGACUCACCUGACAGAAAAGAUAUCAGAGUCAAAUUUUUGAUCAAUGUUGCAGUGGGAGUGACACCUGAAAUGAGCACAAAUGCUGAAUCACAUUGUCAGAAGUUUCUUGAUCUUCUGAAAAGUCAAGCCUUCACGGAAGAGGACGGGUUACGUUAUGAGGACAUUGCUGUCGUUUUUUGCCUUAAUGGAAAAGAAUCAGAUGAAGAAAUUAUAAAAACUGAGUUGGGAAAAACUGUUGAAAGUGAAAUCACUUUUAAAAAAUGGGGCUUUAAAUGGCCAGAAAAUAUGGAAAUCCCAUAUCGACUUAUAAGAGAGGAAAAUAAACAAUCUAAGCACACCAAGGAAUUUGUAAGAAAUUUCAGGGAGAACAACCCUGAUGUUCCAAUCUACUUCUGCUUUUUUGAUGCAGACACAGUUGAUUUUAAUGAGGUGUUGAGUUCUUACAUAGAUGUAAUCAGUGAGCACAACUACCCAACAGUGAUGUCAACUGGUUUUCUGUUCCCUGAAGACAGUAAGUUCAGAAUACAGAGUGACCAUGACCGAGAAGUGCGCAUAAUAACAGCUGAGCACUUUCCUCUGGGCACUUACUACCCAGAGCCUAACUUCUGUGUGCUUCUACCUGAUGGACGUGACACUCUUCCUGAGUGUUUUAAUGAUGCAGAAGAGACACAAAUGAACAUGGAAUCUCCUGUUUUGAUAAGACAAGUAAAACAACGCAAGGGUUUCUCUGCUGUGUUUGCAAAAAAAAAAACAAUUAUUACACGUGAUUCAAGACAAAAACAUAGUCAUACCAAACCACGGACCUGGGCAAUUAGCGCUUAUACACACAGAGAGCUUAUAAUCACU